AAAGCGUGCGCAGGCGGUUAUAUAAGACAGAUGUGAAAUCCCCCGGGCUCAACCUGGGAACUGCAUUUGUGACUGUAUAGCUGGAGUGCGGCAGAGGGGGAUGAAUUCCGCGUGUAGCAGUGAAAUGCGUAGAUAUGCGGAGGAACACCGAUGGCGAAGGCAAUCCCCUGGGCCUGCACUGACGCUCAUGCACGAAAGCGUGGGGAGCAAACAGGAUUAGAUACCCUUGU
RNAcentral lists this ribosomal RNA (230 nucleotides) under uncultured bacterium. RNAcentral's name for it is "partial 16S ribosomal RNA". It matches the Rfam family "Bacterial small subunit ribosomal RNA", at positions 562 to 791 of the family's 1533-position model. The record is from RNAcentral.